AGACACUUUCCCUGAGAAGGAUACUCAAAUACAAAGUUUAGUCGAGAGUAUCCCAGGCUGCUCUGGUCUUUGCAUCUUGUGUGAUUAAAGGAAGAUGGUCUUUAUUGGUUUUACCACAAGAGACCACACAAACCACAAACGGAAUAUACCUCUCUCUUGUUACUACUGAAGAUAAGGUGCCCUUUUACCCAGCAAAGGAGUAACCAACCUUAGGAUAGAUCCCGGGGGUCUGAAGUCACAUUACUACUGGUCAUGGGGGAACAAUAUGCCAGGUGAGACAAAAUGAGCGCACUGUUAAAAUUGGAACAUGAACAUGUUUUCCGUUGAUCACACGCUGUGUGUGUAUUUGGGCAAUAAAGAGGAGUGUAUGGACACACAAUUCCGGAGGAGAAAAAGGAAGAGAAAACAAAAAGGUGGAAAGCAAAAAGGUGCCAUUCCGGAACAUACUGGAACUUGUGCCCAAGGUUUCUUGCGAAGCCAUUAUUUUUCUCAUGAAAAUGCAUGUGUGUGGUAAUGAAUUGUGUAGACGUGUUAAUGUCACAGAGUUGUAUAAAGUAGAAGUAGAUGUACUCUUAUUCACAACAUUAGUGGUGUGAUAUUACAUGGCUUCAACUAUGUAAUAUCAUAUCGCUAGUGUUGUAAUUACAUCUGUAAGAGUGCUUCUACUUCUACGUCAUACAACUCUGGUUACAGGGGCAUGGCAAAAAGUUUUGGGCCUAAAUAUGUGCUCUUGGUAAGCUGAGUAUACACUGCUCUGUCUGUGGCAAUAAUAAUUCAUUCCAAAUGUAGUGUUGCUUGAAUGUGAUCUCUUUUCUUGUCAGCAUCAGAAAUUGACUAAUUGUUAUUACUUAAUAUUUUAAUGCAUUCAUUACCACCACAGCACUCUUUCUCUCUUUCAUUGUGUAUUUAUAGCUACAUGGAUUUCUGUACGUGUAUCACAUGUGUUGACCUUGCUUAACGGUGGCAUUCAGACACGACUCUGACAUGCCCUAAGUCAAUUGUCAGAUUUUAUCUUUGCUGUGCUGAUAUCAGUGGCCACACGUGUGGACCUCCCUCGUGUUUCUCACACAAGAACGUGACCUACAUUGCUUAAGGCGCAGUUGAUUAGUACAAGGUUAACCGUGUCCUGAAACUGUCAACUUGUACAUUAGAGACAUUUUUUUAAGUCGCCUCUGAUAAGAUGCUAAACCCUAUCAACAUAGCUGGUUGUGUCUAGGCUAUUGAUAUCCAUGAGGGAAAGCAUAUCUUAAAAACUCCAAUGAGAAAGCAUUGGGGCUAUAUGAAAUUAGGUAGCCUAAUAUUAAACUAAUGAAAAUAAUGUUGCAUUGAGUCGUGGCAGGUAAGAUGUGGUUCAUGGGAAUGCCAAUAAAUAGGCCCUUAAAAAAACAAUGAUAUUUUACGAGUUAAGUUUAGUAAUUAUUUUGCCAAUUUAAAUGCAUGCUCUUUGACGACUGUGGCGUUAAUGGAAAGCCCCGUCGUUCCCCAGCUGCUGUCCAGCGAAUAUAAAAUGGCCUCAAAACAUCUCCAGCUGUCUACCGCCACAUUCUGCUUGGCUGUGAAACCAUUUGAGUUAUGGGUGUCAGUGACAACCGCCACCGACCGGCCCAUGAAACUUGUGCUUCGCACAUAAUGUUCGCUUGCUGUAGGACAAGUCAGCCUGUUGUGUGGCAUUUGGUGGCUAUUAAAUAAACUAUGACCCCCACAACCCCUCAUUUCUUGUCAAAGGUGAGCGUGGAGGAGCAGGUGUGUUAGUUGUCAGAUGUACUGUAGCCGAUAAAGCUGAGUGAGCAUGUGAUGGACCCAUGUGGCAAUGUUCAUUUAGGCUUAGUUGGUAUUAUUUGAUCAUUGGUCCGCAAUAUGUUGAAUGUAUUAUCAUGCAUUUCACUGUAAAAACUACAUUAAAGAAUAGCUAAGAACAGUAAACAUUUGCGAAGACACACAUGAUGGCAAUGUGCUGCAUCUAUCGUUUUCACAUAGUUAAUCCAAUAGCCCACAUGGCCUUACUUUGGCUGAUCAGUUUUAUGCACCAAAAAGGACUUUACCCAUUAUUUAUACAGUCUGUUUGAAUAAUUUCAAUUUCAAUUCUUUAUUAAGGGAUAGGCCCUUGAGAUGUAUCAUCUCUUUUUCGAGGGGGUCCCAUAAUUGGUUUGGCAGCCAUUUUAAAUUCCAUUCGUGCAUCAGUGCAUCAGUGACCACUGCAAGAUAAGCAGGAUGCUGAGAUCUGGACUGCAAUCAAUCAGUGAGCCCAACCCAGCCCAACCCGAACCUAACCCAACCCAGUUCAGUCCGUGCCAACCCAGUCAAGCUGCAAUAGCCCAGAAUCUUUACUUCUACUUUUAAAGACAUUUUGGGGUUUGUAUGUUUAUUUAUGACAAGAUAGUGAAAGAGUGUCAGGAAAUGAGUGGGAUGGAGAGAGACAGAGAAGGAAUGGGAAUUGACCAUUCCGGAUGACCGGGUAUAACUCAAACUCUGGUCCCCACAUUAAUGCUAUGGCUCCUUAGCUCACUAAGCCACAGUGCCCCCAGCUUUAUCUCUAUUUUUAAGAAAAUGCACAUGGUUACAUUACAUACAGUAUGCUCUGUUGCCAGCCAGACCUUCCCUUUUGACCAAAUAUGGUGGAGGAAACCUGACAACGACAACGUGUUGCGUGCAAUGACUUUCUCACUGACGUGCGGCAACCACGAGUUGAGGUGGAGCAUGGCAGGCCGCCUCUCACCUUUCCCCCCUGUCCCUGUCGAGGGCCCGCGUAGAUGGCGACAAUUGGCCCUGCGGCGAGGCUGGGCACUCGUCACGUCAGGGCAUGUCAAGAUCAGAAACACCCCCCUUCUAUUUAAAGGCCCCACUUUACCCUCUUGACACCACAGGCAUCUGUCCUAUAUAUAAGCCAGCCGCCUGAUCCCCUAGCCCAACUCCCACUCUCAACUGGCCAAGUGCGGGUAUUUGUGGCCUCCUAAAAAUGUAUCACAAGAUACAGACACUUCUCUUCCUAUGCAUAAUAAUACUGUGAGAAGUGGGCUGAUGGCAUUUAUGCAACCUGUGCUUUGAUGUCUUACUUGAUUACUUGACACAAUAUAACAUUUAUCUACAUGAUACGUGAAUGGCACUUCCCUAGUAGUAAUAAGUCUGUGAUUGGAUUAGUGAUUGAUCAUCUAGUUAAAUAUUUAAAGUAGGGUUAUAGAUUUAUGUCUUCUGAUCAAGUGUUACGCAAUGUCUUCAUGCGUGCAGAACUUCGAUCAGGAGCAGGUUUGUGCUUUUCAUGUUAAUAAAGAGGCCCUUUGGUAUCACAUUCCUCCAACUCUUUUUGAUUUUUUGAUGUAACACUAGGUAAUAUACUGCAUAAUAUGGUAUUUUCCUUUGUUUGGGCAAAUGUUUCUACAGUAUAGUGGCAUUUUGCUCUUUGGUGAGAUAGUUCAUUCAAAAUUAUUUAUGAUUCAGUUCACAGAUGCAGUCUUUGGUCAAAUAUAGGCCUAUGUUAAUCUUUAUGAAUCUUAAAAGUCAAACUUUGAGUUUAGGUUCUUGAACAAUUGAGGUUUGGUAGAUGCUUUUCAUCCAGAUGUGUUGUUUUCAAUCAUCUUCAAGAAUCCUUUCCUCAUCCUUGUGCUGUGCAUAACCAUCUUUUUCACAUUGAAAACUCAGACAAAUUGUACUUUGCAACUGUAUUUUAAUGUUUUCUUUUUAUGCUGUUGUGGUGUGUGUUGCAAUAAAAAGGAAAACAAACAGAG
Molecule: long non-coding RNA, 3722 nt
Organism: Engraulis encrasicolus (European anchovy)
Lineage: Eukaryota; Metazoa; Chordata; Actinopteri; Clupeiformes; Engraulidae
Exons: 2
Source: RefSeq, a predicted model, not a curated record